Fukomys damarensis (Damara mole-rat) is the source of this 482-nucleotide long non-coding RNA. RefSeq lists it as uncharacterized. NCBI's taxonomy places the organism in Eukaryota, Metazoa, Chordata, Mammalia, Rodentia, Bathyergidae. The record is from RefSeq and is a predicted model, not a curated record. The transcript has 3 exons.
CUCAGACCUCUUCCCCAAGUCAAAGCUUUCUGUGGAAAGGAAGAGGGACUUCCGAAUACUGGAGGCUACACUUUCUGCAAGAUGUUUCCUCCUCAAGAAGGACCAUGGAGAAAACAAGAAAAGCAAGAUGGUGUGAACAGAGUGGGAGAUGGAAGGCAGGAUGGCUAUGGAACUCAGAGUCAACCAGAAACAGCGGUGACCACACAGAUCCCGGGUGACAGCAGGUUCCCCAGUGUGCAGGCUGCUACUGUGCUCAGACUGCAAAAGUGUGUUGGGGCGGUAAAUAAACACCAGCUCUCAGAAGAAUUGUUGGCAAAAGAAAAUCCCACAUCUCUAUAGCAAUUGUCCCAAGGUUUUGGGGACUCCCUGAACCACUCUGGGACCUGAAGGUGGGAGAUGCUGAUCUGGAGAGCGUUCAGACCAGGAGGAGAACGUCUUGCCACCAGGAAUGCUGGCGAAUGAAGUCUGGAUGCACCUGCAGC